RNAcentral lists this ribosomal RNA (660 nucleotides) under uncultured euryarchaeote. Its description in RNAcentral is "bacterial SSU rRNA". It matches the Rfam family "Archaeal small subunit ribosomal RNA", at positions 218 to 879 of the family's 1478-position model. The record is from RNAcentral. Lineage: Archaea; Methanobacteriati; Methanobacteriota.
CGGCCGAUUAGGUAGUUGCUGGGGUAACGUCCCAACAAGCCGAUAAUCGGUACGGGUUGUGAGAGCAAGAGCCCGGAGAUGGAUUCUGAGACACGAAUCCAGGUCCUACGGGGCGCAGCAGGCGCGAAAACUUUACACUGCGCGAAAGCGCGAUAAGGGGACCUCGAGUGCGUGCGCAAAGCGUACGCUUUUCAGAUGCCUAAAAAGCAUCUGGAAUAAGGGCCGGGCAAGACCGGUGCCAGCCGCCGCGGUAACACCGGCGGCUCAAGUGGUGGCCGCUAUUAUUGGGCUUAAAGGGUCCGUAGCCGGACCAGUUAGUCCCUUGGGAAAUCUUACGGCUUAACCGUAAGGCUGCCAAUGGAUACUGCUGGUCUUGGGACCGGGAGAGGCAAGAGGUACCUCAGGGGUAGGAGUGAAAUCCUGUAAUCCUUGAGGGACCGCCAGUGGCGAAGGCGUCUUGCUAGAACGGGUCCGACGGUGAGGGACGAAAGCUAGGGGCACGAACCGGAUUAGAUACCCGGGUAGUCCUAGCCGUAAACGAUGCGAGCUAGGUGUCACGUGGAUUGCGAAUCCAUGUGGUGCCGAAGGGAAACCGUGAAGCUCGCCGCCUGGGAAGUACGGCCGCAAGGCUGAAACUUAAAGGAAUUGGCGGGGGAGCAC